This is a long non-coding RNA of Mus musculus (house mouse), 3086 nucleotides long. RefSeq annotates it as predicted gene, 52135. The transcript has 3 exons. Lineage: Eukaryota; Metazoa; Chordata; Mammalia; Rodentia; Muridae. The record is from RefSeq and is a predicted model, not a curated record.
AUGUGUACUUUUCCUUUCGUGCAAAUCUGCGGAGAAAUCAGUAAUGCGUAUUUAUUUCUCAGUGACAAAACAAGAUGUAAGUUCCAGGUCCCCGACCACGCAGUUUAAUCUUGAGACUGUCAUGAACUUGACAGUUAAGACCCUGCUUCUGAAGAUGCCACAUAUGUGAGUCAUGGAACAUAGCGAAAUCGAGCUGGUGCCGUCGACCUGGAAGUGUCAGCCCACUGGCUAGCAUUCACAGAGCUUGAAAGUGCUCUGUGAGCUUCCAGGGCAAGCCAGUGAUCAUCAGUCAUACCCAGCUCUGAACCCUGGGAGCUACAACACAGACUGGCCUGGCAAGGCAUGCCCACUGGUGUGAUGGUGGCUCAAUCAUCAUACAGUUCAGUACAUCUCUCAACCCUCAUCUGAGAAGCAAUGGAUGAACUGCAAACAGCCAAGGCCAAGAGAAUGAGAGACUCACGCUAAAUGGGAAAAUAUAUACCCUACCCUCUCAUCCCAUGGCUUGGGGAUCACUGAGGAAGAGAGGGUGAGAAAAAGCAGAAGACCCAGAUGGUAGAGAACUCUAAGGAAACAGUGGCGUCUGGAUAGAGCAGAGUGGCUCAGUGUAUGAACCUGCAGCAGUUGUGACAGUACACAUGGGAUGGAUGAAAGGCAAGCCUCAGCAUGAAGGUGGAAAUUGUCCACGAAAGCCUACUCCCAGCCAGGGAGUUACUGGCAACUGUUAGCUGCUAGGGGAGAGAGAGGAGGAGAGGGGACGGGGGGGGGGGGGGUGAGAGAAAAAUUUUCUCUAAAAGAAUAGCCCCUGGUGACCUGGCCAUGCUUCUAAUGGAAGGCCACCCAUCCAAAAAAUACUUGGGUAGCACAAAUUGGGCUUGAGUUAAACAACCACAAAAAUGAUGAAUAGCACACAAAGGUGGCUGGGCAGGGGGGCAGGGUUGGAUUUAGUCAGAAUUAGGGAAAGGGGAGUAAAAUGAUCAACUCAUGUUAUAUGAAAUUCUCAAAGAACUAAUAUAAAUUUUUAAAGUAUAUUUUGGAAAUCAACAUAAUCUCUGGAAAGUAGAGUAUGUUUUAAAAGAAGUACCUGGCACUCUGCUCCCCAUCUACUGUGUGUGUGUGUGGGGGGGGGGGGGAUGAUGGUUAGCUCUGAUUGUCUUUCCUAGGUGAGUUAAUAUGGGAAGACGCCGCCCACUGUGGGCAGCACCAUUCACUAUAGAGGUCGUCCCUGUGCGAGUGGAGAAACACAAGCAAACAGGCAUGAUGCAUUGGCUGUGGGCGUGACCAGUUCCCUCAAGUUCCUCCCACCUUGACUUCCUCACAUGUAAGACUGGAACUAUGAGCUAAAAAUAAUCCCUGUCCCCUGAGCUGCUUUUUAUUAGGGCGUUUUAUCAUACAGAAGUGAACCGUGUGUAUGUGUGCGCACAUUUUAUCUAUGUACAUGUAUGUACAUGUAUGUACACGUGGAAGGCACAGUUGGCCAUCAGGCCUCUUUCUCUAUUGCUCUCUCUUUUGUUCUAAUUUGUUUCAAUAUUUGAUACAGGAUCUCUGCUCUAAGUCUCCCUUCUAUUUUGUGAUUUAAAAACAACAACAACAACAACAACAACCCUGGCAAAAAGCAACUGAGAGGAGAACUCAGGGAGGAGAGUGUGCACUUAUCUUGCAGGUCACACAGUCCACUGUUAAGAGAGGUGACGGUAAGAACUGAAGCACAAACUAUGGAGGAAGACUGCUUGCUGCUCUGCUCUCUGCCUUUCUCUGCCUUUCUUAUACAGACCAGGACCCUCCUGCGUAGGGAUGGAGCCACCCACAGUGGGAUGGACUCUCCUACAGCAAUCAGCAAUCAAGGCAAUCUCUCACAUUCAUGCCCACAAAUCAACCUGAUAAAGACAACUCCUUUUUCAAGUGAUUCUGGGCUAUGUCAUGUUGAUAGGUAACUAGGCCAGCCUCUCACUAACUUGUAGCCCAUUGAUUUGGCCAGGCUGGCUGGCCUGCUCCAGAGACCUAUUUAUCUCCACACCUCCUCAGUGCUAGGGUUAUAGGUACACUCUGCCACACUCGCCCUUGGCUUUUAUAUGAAUGUCAGGGAUUCAAACAUAUGUCUAUGCUUAUGAAGCAAGGACUUUACACACCAAACUAUUCCUCCAGACCCCUCAAGCACUUCCAGCUUUGAAGUAAAUGUCUUUAUGCUUAAACCCUAGUGCUCUGGACAACAGGGACAUACUGCAAGAGCCCACGGCAGGGCUGUGUGGGGGAUACUAUGACUGACUGUGCAAGUGUCCAUGCAAAGCUUUAGGGUCAGCACUGGUACUAGUGACCUUGGCCUCAGUGCAGGGAGGACUCCGCUGUAGCAUCACCCACACACAGAGGCAGAGUGUAGACACUGUGAGCUCUCUACCAGUGUUCCCAGAUCCCCAAAUCCUGAUAGCCAGGAUCUGCAGGACCAAGCUUGUCCCCUCCAGACUGUUAGCUUCAUGGUCUAGAAUAUCACGUCACACCACCAUGUUAUACGGACUGGCUAGGUCCCACACCCCAAAACUCAGAUAUAGAAAUCCUAACCCCAGUACAUCAGAAUUCAAUGGGAUUUGGAGAUGAGGCUUUAAAUGGGCAAUUAAAUAACACGAAGGUCAUUAGGAUAGACUUUAAUCCUCUGAUAUAACAGUAAAAAAAAAGAUCGAAACACAAAUAGUGGUAGGUGGGGGUUGUUGGGAGGGGAGGAUUAAUGACCAUCUGAGAGCCACGGAGGAAGGCCUUGGAAUGGACAACCCAGAAUGGUGAAGAGAAACCUUCUUGUCAUCCAUCUGAGCUACCCUCGCUGUGGUCCUUUUAAUAGCAGCCCUAGAAAACUAAUGUAUGUUCCACUAAAGGUUGUGUUGCUCUAGCCUCAAUUCAAACUAGAAGUUGGCCAUCACUGUUCUGGCAUCUGCCGGUGAGAUCAUUAACUACUAAUUACUAAUUGUUAAUCGUUAACUAUUAAUUAUUAAUAACAGUCAAUUUACACACACACACACUAACCCAUCACCUCUCAUAAAAGUAAACCCAGCAGGUGCUAUCUCCCGCUCUCUCCACUUUGCCCUCCUUUCUUACCUGGU